This 296-nucleotide unclassified non-coding RNA is filed under the name Pomaderris clivicola. RNAcentral's name for it is "partial miscellaneous RNA". The record is from RNAcentral. Lineage: Eukaryota; Viridiplantae; Streptophyta; Magnoliopsida; Rosales; Rhamnaceae.
GACUUCGGUAUUGGUGUAUACUGAGUUAUUGAACAUAAAGGAGCAAUAAUAAAUUUCUUGUUCUACCAAGAAGUUUGGUAUUGCUCCUUUUUUAUUUAGGAUUUUUUUUGACUUAAAUAAGUCUGUUUCUUUACUUCAUCGUUACUUCAUCUUUACUUCAACAUACCCUUCGUUAUGUAGAAAUUUUUAUUUUCGAUAUCCUCUUCUCAAUUUUUUUUCUUAUAGUUUUUCUUAUAAGAAUUAAAAUAAGAAUUAAAAUAAAAAAUUUAAAUAUAAAUGGUGUAAAUUGACCUAUU